Peromyscus maniculatus bairdii (prairie deer mouse) is the source of this 502-nucleotide non-coding RNA. The record is from RefSeq and is a predicted model, not a curated record. NCBI's taxonomy places the organism in Eukaryota, Metazoa, Chordata, Mammalia, Rodentia, Cricetidae.
CAUAAACACACACAUGCACGCACGCGCGCACACGAACACACACACACACACACACACACACACACACACACACACACACACGCAGAAAGCAAUAGUCAGGAAGAGAUGCUGUGAACAGGUUUGGUACCUGCCAAGAUAGAAAAUUCUAAAAGCACAUGGGCAUCAAGGAUCCAUGAGACCUUUGUAUAACACAACACAAAACCUGCGUGUAAUGGACACACAACUUCCUGUGCACUCUGUCAUCUCUAGACCAUUGACAAUCCCUAGUGCCACAUCAAUACGUUAUUCAGCCUCGAAGGAAAUUCUUCACACACUCCAUGAACUAAACUUUUCAGCUUGGAAUUCUUAUGAAUGAAGCCGCACACCUCUGUCAGAGCCAGUUGAGCACAUUGGUGGGUCUGAAUCCUGUCCCGCUGGUCUGUGUGUCAAUCUUCACAGCAAACCACACUGUCUGGAUCACCGGAGCUGUACCACAGACCUCAAUACCAACCCCAGUGCCUGC